Molecule: unclassified non-coding RNA, 226 nt
Filed under: Hevea brasiliensis (rubber tree)
Lineage: Eukaryota; Viridiplantae; Streptophyta; Magnoliopsida; Malpighiales; Euphorbiaceae
Source: RNAcentral
UGAUUGGUCGACUUUUCUGUGGGUAAGUGAUUUCUUGGAUACUCUCAUUACUCUCAUUAAUUGAGUGAAAUGACCAUGAGAUUUUUUUUUUGGUUGAUUACUAUUGCAUUUUAUGCUUUCUCAUGCAGUGUCCUGAUGCUUUAAAAUUGGACUCUUUUGUUUGUUUUACACUAUUAAUCAAUGAGGGUACAACAAUAUUUCAGGUUAGGCUCUGCAAGAGCUGUUA